CAGCCGCCGCGGUAAUACGUAGGUGGCAAGCGUUGUCCGAAAUUAUUGGGCGUAAAGCGCGCGCAGGUGGUUUAAUAAGUCUGAUGUGAAAGCCCACGGCUUAACCGUGGAGGGUCAUUGGAAACUGUUAAACUUGAGUGCAGGAGAGAAAAGUGGAAUUCCUAGUGUAGCGGUGAAAUGCGUAGAGAUUAGGAGGAACACCAGUGGCGAAGGCGGCUUUUUGGCCUGUAACUGACACUGAGGCGCGAAAGCGUGGGGAGCAAACAGGAUUAGAUACCCCCGUAGUCCCUGUCUCUUAUAC
Molecule: ribosomal RNA, 301 nt
Filed under: uncultured bacterium
Lineage: Bacteria
Description: partial 16S ribosomal RNA
Rfam family: Bacterial small subunit ribosomal RNA
Source: RNAcentral